CAGAAAGUAGGAAGCCAUGAAGACAAUCAGUAAGAACAACGGUAGCAGACAAGUGACUCAAGAAUAAUCUCUGAGCUUCCCCAAAACUUCUCACAAAAGCCAACCGCCAUAUCCAAAAUGUAAUGAAAGGUAUGAUGAGGAGCCAAACAGAGAGCACAAAACUUAAACGUAAAAAGAAUUGCAGGACAUGGCAAGCUUUCAUUGCUAUUCCAAAAAUAAAUUCCUGAAAAGGUAGCCUUGAUGGAGCAUUCUCGGCAUAAACAGGGGAGAAGGAAAAUGCAUGUUUGCAAACCUCGCACUGACGGGCGUUGCUGUGAUUCAGCCAUUGAAGGAGACAAUCCUGGUGAACAAACUUGAUGCUGCCGCUGCAAGCGCAGGGAUAACUUAGCGGGUUAUCCGCAUCUCUAGGGUUCCUACAGAUCCGGCAGACGUCCUCUUCCUCUUCAUCGUCAUCAUACUUAGGUCCAGGAAAAGACGUAGACAAGUUCGCCUUGUUCCCUGGUACAGAAUCCGG
Molecule: unclassified non-coding RNA, 514 nt
Filed under: Hevea brasiliensis (rubber tree)
Lineage: Eukaryota; Viridiplantae; Streptophyta; Magnoliopsida; Malpighiales; Euphorbiaceae
Source: RNAcentral